AAAAUCCGUCGACUUUAGAAAUCGUGAGGAAGUCCUUUAUCCCCA
This 45-nucleotide transfer RNA is filed under the name Trichocladus crinitus. RNAcentral's name for it is "partial tRNA-Leu". Lineage: Eukaryota; Viridiplantae; Streptophyta; Magnoliopsida; Saxifragales; Hamamelidaceae. The record is from RNAcentral.